Molecule: long non-coding RNA, 2116 nt
Organism: Felis catus (domestic cat)
Lineage: Eukaryota; Metazoa; Chordata; Mammalia; Carnivora; Felidae
Exons: 5
Source: RefSeq, a predicted model, not a curated record
AUUGGGAGAGGUUUAAAAAAAAAAAAAAAUCAUUAUCAAAUAACUACAGCUUGAAAAAGUUGGCGGGCGGCACGGAAAACGCGGCCUGGAUCGCGCCGGGGCCGCCGCCGCCGCUCGCAGGCGCCCCGCGGUAGCCAAAAAUGGAAGGAAACACAUCUGUAACGCAUUUGUGUGAUGUUCACCUUUGAGACCGCGCGGCUGGAUGGAGGCGGUGUUGCUGUUUCCCGUACACCUCGCCUUGGACAUGACCGUGACCACAGGCAGCGUCUGAGAGAUCGUGUGACCCUCCUGGGCCCUGACUUCCUUCCUAGAUCUCAGAGCGGAGUCUGGCAGAAAGCCCGUCACAUGGUGUGGCUUCCAGCUCCAAAGUGCACCCCCCAUACGGCUACUGCUCACCAUGGCCACGGCCAUCACGCCCGUUUCAGCUGCCACACCCUGUCGUCUGGACCCGCCGUAGCGGCCACAGCACGAGCUCCACCUCCCGUCUGUCGUCCACACAGCAGCCAGAGCAACUGACAUGCCGAUCAGGUCCCGUCUCUCCCUGCGGAGAACUUCAGAACGGCCUUUGAUGAGAUUUAAGAAUUCCAACCAGUAAAUGUAGGAGCGAUGGGCUUGAGGACCACCAUUUGCCAAAUGCCAGGGUAGAAACUGUUUCCGGAUACUUAUUAAUAAAGGGAAAAUCACAACUUUACGCUGGAGAAACUUGGCAGGCAACAUCUCAAUCACUCGGUCAGAAUUAAUAUCAACCGUAUUGGGAUGAGCUGACAUCACAUGCCUCCCAGGAUGAUGCAACCUGUCUUUUGUGGCAUUUUUUACCCAACAUGCAUACCUUGGAUUGAAUGAUGAGGAAACAUCAGAAAAAACCAAAUAGAAGGGUAUUCUAGAAAAGAAGUGGCCAGUGUGGACACAAAGGUGUCAAGGUCGUGAAAGACACGGAUGAGGAACUGUUCCAGAUUCAAGGAGACUGGAGAGUCGUGACAACUGAGAAUAACGUGACCCUACACUGAAUCCUGAACCAGAAGAAAGACGUUAGGGCAACUACCUAGGAAAUGCAAAGAAGGUCUGUAGGUUACGUAGUGGGAUGUCCCGAUUUUGACGCUGUGCCGUGCCAUGUUGACAUCUGGAGAAUCCGGAUAGAGUUGAUGGGGAUUCUUUGUCCCAUUUUUGCAGCUUCUUGGAAAGUAUGAAGUUCCUUCAAAAUGAAAAGUUCACGAGAACAACAAACUCUUGCUUCCAAAACUCUUUUAGUGCCCGUUGCCUGAAGGAAGAGGCCCAAUUUCUUAGCCAGACUGUCACCAACCUUGUGUCUCUUGCUCCAACCCACCUGGAGCGGGGUCGGUGGCCCCGGAGCACACAGGGUGGGUCUGCCUGUUACCCCGAAGGCAGUGGGGGUUUCCUGGGAAGGUUUUGGCUGGGAAGGGCCGUGGGUCAAGUCGACGGCAUCUUGCUGGGAGGAUUCACUUGGAUACGGAGAAGCCAGCGGAGAGAGAAUUUGCAGAAGUUCAAGGGGGAGAGAAUGAAGACAGAGGAGAGGCCAGACUCCAGAAGUGUUCGGGAGAUGGCAUCAUUAGGACCUGGUGAUGGCAUGUGGGGGGAGAAUAAACAGAGAAAGCAAGGGUGACUUUAAAGCCGUUGGGUCCCUGGAGCCCCAGGGCAGAUUCCAUCUGGGUGGCCGUUCAGGGUGUGGAACGUUCCACACUUGUUCCUGAAGAUGUGUUCCCCACGCUUCCGCAUCCGCUCAGUGCUUGGAAGGCGCUAUGGAUUGCCUCGCUCGGGCUCUCUCUGGCUUCCGGUUAUGUUCAGCCAAGGAGAGGGCAACAGGGGACAGAGACUGGGGUAUCCCCCCAAUGCCUACUUUUCCCAGUUUGGCAGUGGCUGUACUAAUCCCACUACGGCAGCCACUAGUUGGACAACCUCUCCGUGGCCUUCCGUGCCUGGAGGGGGGUGUGGAACCGCUGAUCCCCGGUGCCUCGCCACCCCUUCCCGGCCCCCUUCGCUCUCACCCUUGUAACGAGUCUCCUUAUUCAGUUUCUUCAAUCACCCCUUUGAGUGAGAGAUCUGCUGCUUACCGGGUCCCAGCAAAUAAAUACACCCGGUCAACAAUGCCUUCUCUGGA